RNAcentral lists this ribosomal RNA (466 nucleotides) under uncultured bacterium. Its description in RNAcentral is "partial 16S ribosomal RNA". It matches the Rfam family "Bacterial small subunit ribosomal RNA", at positions 28 to 507 of the family's 1533-position model. The record is from RNAcentral.
GACGAACGCUGGCGGCGCGCCUAACACAUGCAAGUCGAACGAGCGAGCGAGAGCUUGCUUUCUCGAGCGAGUGGCGAACGGGUGAGUAACGCGUGAGGAACCUGCCUCAAAGAGGGGGACAACAGUUGGAAACGACUGCUAAUACCGCAUAAGCCCACGACCCGGCAUCGGGUAGAGGGAAAAGGAGCAAUCCGCUUUGAGAUGGCCUCGCGUCCGAUUAGCUAGUUGGUGUGGUAACGGCCCACCAAGGCGACGAUCGGUAGCCGGACUGAGAGGUUGAACGGCCACAUUGGGACUGAGACACGGCCCAGACUCCUACGGGAGGCAGCAGUGGGGAAUAUUGCACAAUGGGGGAAACCCUGAUGCAGCGACGCCGCGUGGAGGAAGAAGGUCUUCGGAUUGUAAACUCCUGUUGUUGAGGAAGAUAAUGACGGUACUCAACAAGGAAGUGACGGCUAACUACGUG